GGCAAAUUUGGAAUCUUUGCCUCCGUAUGUUCCAUCCUAUUUGAAGGCAUCAUUAGGACAUCCAAGAUCCACCCGCCGCUGGCAUUUCUGCACUGUUUGUGGAGUUGCUUCCAAUUAUACAUGUGUUACAUGCGGGAUGCGCUUUUGUGCAGUCCAUUGCUAGACCAUACAUGAUGAUACUCAUUGUCUGAAAUUUGUUGCCUAAUU
This 207-nucleotide unclassified non-coding RNA is filed under the name Hevea brasiliensis (rubber tree). Lineage: Eukaryota; Viridiplantae; Streptophyta; Magnoliopsida; Malpighiales; Euphorbiaceae. The record is from RNAcentral.